GAUGCCAUCGCUCAACUUGUGAAUUUCUAGAUCAGGAUUCCAAAGAACAAUCACCAAAUCAGACAAGAAGGCGUGGCACUAAGCCACCAGACACCCAGCAGGUGAAGCUGACAGAGGAGCAAAUGUCGCAGUUUGUACAGGAACACAAUCCGAGUAACAUUCCGGAAUGAGCAGGAAGCAGGACACACAGAGAAAGAAAUGCGGCCGCUUAUAGUGACACCAUAUCAAUAAUGUUCCAGAGUGAGCAGGAAGCAGGAAAAACUGCCAGAGGAAGAAAAUGUGGCAGUUUACAGCAACGCAGUCUGAAUAAAAUUCCAGCAGUAAUAAUAACAUUCAAGAGUGAGCAAUAAGCAGGUAAGCUGACAGAGGAAGAAAUGCAGCUGUUUACAGUGACACCAUAUCAAUAAUGUUCCAGAGUGAACAGGAAGCAGGAAAAACUGCCAGAGGAAGAAAUGCAGCUGUUUACAGUGACACUGUAUAAAUAACAGCCCAGAGUGAGCAGGAAGCACAAAAAGCUGACAAAGGAACAAAACGUGACCAUUUACAGUAAACAGUCUGAAUUACUUUCCAGGGUGAGCAGGAAGCAGGACAAGCUGAUAGAGGAAGAAAUGUGAUAGUUUACAGUAAUAUAUUCCAGUGGAAGCAUGGAAAUGUUUAGGAGAGAUGCCAUUGGAGUUUCUAUCCAGAUUGUUUAAUAAAAUCUUGGAA
Thalassophryne amazonica is the source of this 708-nucleotide long non-coding RNA. RefSeq lists it as uncharacterized. The record is from RefSeq and is a predicted model, not a curated record. The transcript has 3 exons. NCBI's taxonomy places the organism in Eukaryota, Metazoa, Chordata, Actinopteri, Batrachoidiformes, Batrachoididae.